GCUUGCUUUCUUUGCUGGCGACCGGCGCACGGGUGAGUAACACGUAUCCAACCUACCCUUUACUCGGGGAUAGCCUUUCGAAAGAAAGAUUAAUACCCGAUAGCAUAAUGAUUCCGCAUGGUUUCAUUAUUAAAGGAUUCCGGUAAAGGAUGGGGAUGCGUUCCAUUAGGUUGUUGGUGGGGUAACGGCCCACCAAGCCUUCGAUGGAUAGGGGUUCUGAGAGGAAGGUCCCCCACAUUGGAACUGAGACACGGUCCAAACUCCUACGGGAGGCAGCAUGC
This 281-nucleotide ribosomal RNA is filed under the name uncultured bacterium. RNAcentral describes it as "partial 16S ribosomal RNA". It matches the Rfam family "Bacterial small subunit ribosomal RNA", at positions 78 to 353 of the family's 1533-position model. The record is from RNAcentral.